CUGGAUUUCCUUCCUGCCGGUGUGCCCAGGCCGUCUUCCAACAGCGGAUAAGGAGAGCAGAAGGGAGAGUGUUGGACUUUCAGUGGAUGCCAUUUACACCGUAGAAUGUGAUGAAAAUCUUCGGUCAGCUAGUGAUUGUGGCUAUCCGUCUGUGACAUGACCACAGCCCUGCAGCAUUUACAUACACGUUCCUACAGUAGUGCUGAAUGGACAUCUAAGCUGGCAAAGGAAAAGAGCCUCACCCGCUGACUUUAAGGACCUGACCAUCCUCUCAGAUAUACAGAAGAAAUAGAAGUACCUCACAUGGAUUAUCUGGUACAGUUUCACUAAUGUAUAGCAUGCACAGAACCCCAGUUCUUUG
RNAcentral lists this long non-coding RNA (361 nucleotides) under Dromaius novaehollandiae (emu). RNAcentral describes it as "lncRNA (ENSDNVG00000001075.1)". The record is from RNAcentral. Lineage: Eukaryota; Metazoa; Chordata; Aves; Casuariiformes; Dromaiidae.